GCAAGUCGAACGGUGAAGCAGAGCUUGCUCUGUGGAUCAGUGGCGAACGGGUGAGUAACACGUGAGCAACCUGCCCCUGACUCUGGGAUAAGCGCUGGAAACGGCGUCUAAUACUGGAUAUGAGCUGCGACCGCAUGGUCAGCAGUUGGAAAGAUUUUUCGGUCUGGGAUGGGCUCACGGCCUAUCAGCUUGUUGGUGAGGUAAUGGCUCACCAAGGCGUCGACGGGUAGCCGGCCUGAGAGGGUGACCGGCCACACUGGGACUGAGACACGGCCCAGACUCCUACGGGAGGCAGCAGUGGGGAAUAUUGCACAAUGGGCGCAAGCCUGAUGCAGCAACGCCGCGUGAGGGACGACGGCCUUCGGGUUGUAAACCUCUUUUAGCAGGGAAGAAGCGAAAGUGACGGUACCUGCAGAAAAAGCGCCGGCUAACUACGUGCCAGCAGCCGCGGUAAUACGUAGGGCGCAAGCGUUAUCCGGAAUUAUUGGGCGUAAAGAGCUCGUAGGCGGUUUGUCGCGUCUGCUGUGAAAUCCCGAGGCUCAACCUCGGGUCUGCAGUGGGUACGGGCAGACUAGAGUGCGGUAGGGGAGAUUGGAAUUCCUGGUGUAGCGGUGGAAUGCGCAGAUAUCAGGAGGAACACCGAUGGCGAAGGCAGAUCUCUGGGCCGUUACUGACGCUGAGGAGCGAAAGGGUGGGGAGCAAACAGGCUUAGAUACCCUGGUAGUCCACCCCGUAAACGUUGGGAACUAGUUGUGGGGUCCAUUCCACGGAUUCCGUGACGCAGCUAACGCAUUAAGUUCCCCGCCUGGGGAGUACGGCCGCAAGGCUAAAACUCAAAGGAAUUGACGGGGACCCGCACAAGCGGCGGAGCAUGCGGAUUAAUUCGAUGCAACGCGAAGAACCUUACCAAGACUUGACAUAUACGAGAACGGGCCAGAAAUGGUCAACUCUUUGGACACUCGUAAACAGGUGGUGCAUGGUUGUCGUCAGCUCGUGUCGUGAGAUGUUGGGUUAAGUCCCGCAACGAGCGCAACCCUCGUUCUAUGUUGCCAGCACGUAAUGGUGGGAACUCAUGGGAUACUGCCGGGGUCAACUCGGAGGAAGGUGGGGAUGACGUCAAAUCAUCAUGCCCCUUAUGUCUUGGGCUUCACGCAUGCUACAAUGGCCGGUACAAAGGGCUGCAAUACCGCGAGGUGGAGCGAAUCCCAAAAAGCCGGUCCCAGUUCGGAUUGAGGUCUGCAACUCGACCUCAUGAAGUCGGAGUCGCUAGUAAUCGCAGAUCAGCAACGCUGCGGUGAAUACGUUCCCGGGUCUUGUACACACCGCCCGUCAAGUCAUGAAAGUCGGUAACACCUGAAGCCGGUGGCCUAACCCUUGUGGAGGGAG
This 1386-nucleotide ribosomal RNA is filed under the name Microbacterium sp. Ld14. Its description in RNAcentral is "bacterial SSU rRNA". It matches the Rfam family "Bacterial small subunit ribosomal RNA". The record is from RNAcentral. Lineage: Bacteria; Bacillati; Actinomycetota; Actinomycetes; Micrococcales; Microbacteriaceae.